This 440-nucleotide ribosomal RNA is filed under the name uncultured bacterium. RNAcentral describes it as "partial 16S ribosomal RNA". It matches the Rfam family "Bacterial small subunit ribosomal RNA", at positions 338 to 795 of the family's 1533-position model. The record is from RNAcentral.
CCUACGGGAGGCAGCAGUGGGGAAUAUUCCACAAUGGGGGAAACCCUGAUGCAGCAACGCCGCGUGAGUGAAGAAGUAUUUCGGAUCGUAAAGCUCUAUUAGCAGGGAAGAAGAUGACGGUACCUGAGUAAGCAGCCCCGGCUAACUACGUGCCAGCAGCCGCGGUCAUACGAAGGGGGCAAGCGUUCUCCGGAUUUACUGGGUGAAAGGGGAGCGUAGACGGUGUGACAAGUCUGAAGUGAAAGCCCGGGGAUCAACCCCGGGACGGCUUUGGAAACUGCCUGACUGGAGUGCUGGAGAGGCAAGAGGAAUUCCAAGUGUAGCGGUGAAAUGCGUAGAUAUUAGGAAGAACACCAGUGGCGAAGGCGGCUUGCUGGACAGUAACUGACGUUGAGGCUCGAAAGCGUGGGGAGCAAACAGGAUUAGAUACCCCUGUAGUC